This 254-nucleotide ribosomal RNA is filed under the name uncultured bacterium. Its description in RNAcentral is "partial 16S ribosomal RNA". It matches the Rfam family "Bacterial small subunit ribosomal RNA", at positions 524 to 776 of the family's 1533-position model. The record is from RNAcentral.
UACGAAGGGGCGAGCGUUGCUCGGAAUCACUGGGCGUAAAGCGCACGUAGGCGGCUUCUAAGUCAGGGUGAAAUCCUGGAGCUCAACUCCAAGAACUGCCUUUGAUGACUGGAAAGCUUGAGUUCGGGAGAGGUGAGUGGAACUGGCGAGUGUAGCGGUGAAAUGCGCAGAGUAUACGGGAGGAACACCGGUGGCGAAGGCGGCUCACUGGCCCGAUAUGACGCUGAGGUGCGAAAGCGUGGGGAGCAAACAGG